GACGAACGCUGGCGGCGUGCUUAACACAUGCAAGUCGAACGGAAAGGCCCUGCUUUUGUGGGGUGCUCGAGUGGCGAACGGGUGAGUAACACGUGAGUAACCUGCCCUUGACUUUGGGAUAACUUCAGGAAACUGGGGCUAAUACCGGAUAGGAGCUCCUGCUGCAUGGUGGGGGUUGGAAAGUUUCGGCGGUUGGGGAUGGACUCGCGGCUUAUCAGCUUGUUGGUGGGGUAGUGGCUUACCAAGGCUUUGACGGGUAGCCGGCCUGAGAGGGUGACCGGCCACAUUGGGACUGAGAUACGGCCCAGACUCCUACGGGAGGCAGCAGUGGGGAAUAUUGCACAAUGGGCGGAAGCCUGAUGCAGCAACGCCGCGUGCGGGAUGACGGCCUUCGGGUUGUAAACCGCUUUCGCCUGUGACGAAGCGUGAGUGACGGUAAUGGGUAAAGAAGCACCGGCUAACUACGUGCCAGCAGCCGCGGUGAUACGUAGGGUGCGAGCGUUGUCCGGAUUUAUUGGGCGUAAAGGGCUCGUAGGUGGUUGAUCGCGUCGGAAGUGUAAUCUUGGGGCUUAACCCUGAGCGUGCUUUCGAUACGGGUUGACUUGAGGAAGGUAGGGGAGAAUGGAAUUCCUGGUGGAGCGGUGGAAUGCGCAGAUAUCAGGAGGAACACCAGUGGCGAAGGCGGUUCUCUGGGCCUUUCCUGACGCUGAGGAGCGAAAGCGUGGGGAGCGAACAGGCUUAGAUACCCUGGUAGUCCACGCUGUAAACGGUGGGUACUAGGUGUGGGGUCCAUUCCACGGGUUCCGUGCCGUAGCUAACGCUUUAAGUACCCCGCCUGGGGAGUACGGCCGCAAGGCUAAAACUCAAAGGAAUUGACGGGGCCCCGCACAAGCGGCGGAGCAUGCGGAUUAAUUCGAUGCAACGCGUAGAACCUUACCUGGGUUUGACAUGGAUCGGGAGCGCUCAGAGAUGGGUGUGCCUCUUUUGGGGUCGGUUCACAGGUGGUGCAUGGCUGUCGUCAGCUCGUGUCGUGAGAUGUUGGGUUAAGUCCCGCAACGAGCGCAACCCUUGUUCACUGUUGCCAGCACGUUAUGGUGGGGACUCAGUGGAGACCGCCGGGGUCAACUCGGAGGAAGGUGGGGAUGACGUCAAGUCAUCAUGCCCCUUAUGUCCAGGGCUUCACGCAUGCUACAAUGGCUGGUACAGAGAGUGGCGAGCCUGUGAGGGUGAGCGAAUCUCGGAAAGCCGGUCUCAGUUCGGAUUGGGGUCUGCAACUCGAUCUCAUGAAGUCGGAGUCGCUAGUAAUCGCAGAUCAGCAACGCUGCGGUGAAUACGUUCCCGGG
RNAcentral lists this ribosomal RNA (1343 nucleotides) under uncultured bacterium. RNAcentral's name for it is "16S ribosomal RNA". It matches the Rfam family "Bacterial small subunit ribosomal RNA", at positions 28 to 1378 of the family's 1533-position model. The record is from RNAcentral.